AGGGCUGCCUAGCACAGCCGGACCGCGGCGGGGAGGAGCCGGCGCUGACGGGCAGAAAUCCCCGGCGGAGAAACCGGGAGGGAUCCCGGGAAGGGAGGCCGUGCGCAUUUUCCUUUUUUCAACAACCUCUCCAAGAACACGUCCUAAGCACCGGGGAUCUGCUGCUACGUACAAAGCUCAGGCACUGAGCCAAUUCGGAAAAUAGUGUAACGUGUGUAUGUGGAAACAGCGUGACUCCUGGACUGUUCAUGCUAACUAUAGUUCAGGAGCGCCUUGUAUAAAGCAAAGUGAACUUGAUAACGCCAUUGCGUUGCAAGGAUAUCCCAGGCCGCAGCUGUGGGUAAAACGCAGGAGCUGUUUCGUGCGCUCCUAAGCGAUUGCUGACGAGUGAGCGUCUCCCACCCGAUGCCAGUCAGUUCAGCUGAUUAGGGCUAAGGCAGGGCAGCUCGGAGCUGGAGGUGGACCCUGCCGACGGGCCUGGAGGAGCCUGGCAGAGCUCCCUCCUCGGUGGCAGCUCGGCGCUGUGGGGGCCCCGCGGGUUUGACGCUGCAAAUAACAGCAGAUUCCAGCACCCGGCCAUGAAUACAAAAGCCUGAUGUCAAUAGGACACUGAAGGCCAGUGCCGGAGCGUCAACACGUCUAUAGCGUAACGGUAGAUCGUGUACUGACAUAUAAGGCGGGAGAGAAGUGUUUAAGGUACAGACUGAUGAAUGCAAAUUGGGUUUACUGUUACGAACACAGAACAAAUUCUUUCACUUUUUAAAGACGUAACUAAUUUGCUGCCUGAAAGGCCCUUUUUAAACAGCCCGCUUUGACAAUUUUAGCCAUUUUAAAUUAAGAAUGCUGUGUUACGUUUUUGAGCGCCCGGCUUCAAACGGCACGGCUCGUUGUUCCCGUGGGUUGGCGUCUGCUUGGGUGCUCUGGCAGGGCCAAGGCUCGAACCGCUGCCCCGGCGGGUCUGCUCCGCGUCGGGUCGAACUACGCGUUUGUGGAAACCAGGCAGCAGGGCUCUGUGCUGGGGCGAACGGCUCUAACCGACCGAGGAUGGAAGCAUGGUGUCUGAGGAGAAAACUGGGAAAGGCGGCGUGCUGUCACGGGCUAACCCCUCUCUGGUCUAAGCUGCUGAAGCUCCCUGAUCCCUGGGUCCGAGAGCAUGUUUCAAGCACCUUGGCUUAACUCCACCAACUUGCUCCUCCGUGACUGAGAGCAGCCGAGCACCCUCCUGGCAUGGCGUCUGCACCUAACUGCUCGUGGAAAGGGUCGAGUCAGGAGACAGCCUCAGCAACUCGUUUCUGUAUCUGCUAAUCCCUAGCAAAACGAUGAAAUAAAUGAGCUGCCAGAAGAGAUCUGAGUCUUCCC
Molecule: long non-coding RNA, 1359 nt
Filed under: Struthio camelus australis
Lineage: Eukaryota; Metazoa; Chordata; Aves; Struthioniformes; Struthionidae
Description: lncRNA (ENSSCUG00000015219.1)
Source: RNAcentral